AGUGAACGCUGGCGGUAGGCCUAACACAUGCAAGUCGAACGGCAGCACAGUAAGAGCUUGCUCUUACGGGUGGCGAGUGGCGGACGGGUGAGGAAUACAUCGGAAUCUACUUUUUCGUGGGGGAUAACGUAGGGAAACUUACGCUAAUACCGCAUACGACCUACGGGUGAAAGCAGGGGAUCUUCGGACCUUGCGCGAUUGAAUGAGCCGAUGUCGGAUUAGCUAGUUGGCGGGGUAAAGGCCCAUCAAGGCGACGAUCCGUAGCUGGUCUGAGAGGAUGAUCAGCCACACUAGAACUGAGACACGGUCCAGACUCCUACGGGAGGCAGCAGUGGGGAAUAUUGGACAAUGGGCGCAAGCCUGAUCCAGCCAUACCGCGUGGGUGAAGAAGGCCUUCGGGUUGUAAAGCCCUUUUGUUGGGAAAGAAAAGCAGCAGGUUAAUACCCCGCUGUUCUGACGGUACCCAAAGAAUAAGCACCGGCUAACUUCGUG
RNAcentral lists this ribosomal RNA (492 nucleotides) under uncultured bacterium. RNAcentral describes it as "partial 16S ribosomal RNA". It matches the Rfam family "Bacterial small subunit ribosomal RNA", at positions 29 to 507 of the family's 1533-position model. The record is from RNAcentral.